AAAACCUUACCUACCUUGACAUGUCCGGAAUCCGAAGAGAUUUGGGAGUGCUCGCAAGAGAGUCCGGAACACAGGUGCUGCAUGGCUGUCGUCAGCUCGUGUCGUGAGAUGUUGGGUUAAGUCCCGCAACGAGCGCAACCCUUGUCAUUAGUUGCCAUCAUUUGGUUGGGCACUCUAAUGAGACUGCCGGUGACAAACCGGAGGAAGGUGGGGAUGACGUCAAGUCCUCAUGGCCCUUAUGGGUAGGGCUUCACGCGUCAUACAAUGGUCGGUACAGAGGGUUGCCAACCCGCGAGGGGGAGCUAAUCCCACAAAGCCGAUCGUAGUCCGGAUCGCAGUCUGCAACUCGACUGCGUGAAGUCGGAAUCGCUAGUAAUCGUGGAUCAGCAUGUCACGGUGAAUACGUUCCCGGGUCUU
This 417-nucleotide ribosomal RNA is filed under the name uncultured Rhodocyclaceae bacterium. RNAcentral's name for it is "bacterial SSU rRNA". It matches the Rfam family "Bacterial small subunit ribosomal RNA", at positions 965 to 1382 of the family's 1533-position model. The record is from RNAcentral. Lineage: Bacteria; Pseudomonadati; Pseudomonadota; Betaproteobacteria; Rhodocyclales; Rhodocyclaceae.